CCCUUAGAUGUUCUGGGCCGCACGCGCGCUACAAUGAUGAAUUCAACGAGUUUAUAGCCUUGGUUGAAAAGCCUGGGUAAUCUUUUGAACUUUCGUCGUGAUGGGGCUAGACCCUUGCAAUUAUUGGUCUCCAACGAGGAAUUCCUAGUAAACGCAAGUCAUCAGCUUGCAUUGAUUACGUCCCUGCCCUUUGUACACACCGCCCGUCGCUCCUACCGAUUGAAUGCUCAGGUGAGCCAUUCGGACCUUCAUCAUGCCGGUUUCCGGUUUUGAUGAGGGAAAGUCUUGCGAACCUUAUCAUUUAGAGGAAGGAGAAGUCGUAACA
This 325-nucleotide ribosomal RNA is filed under the name uncultured eukaryote. RNAcentral describes it as "partial 18S ribosomal RNA". It matches the Rfam family "Eukaryotic small subunit ribosomal RNA", at positions 1470 to 1796 of the family's 1831-position model. The record is from RNAcentral.